Rattus norvegicus (Norway rat) is the source of this 837-nucleotide long non-coding RNA. RefSeq lists it as uncharacterized. Lineage: Eukaryota; Metazoa; Chordata; Mammalia; Rodentia; Muridae. The record is from RefSeq and is a predicted model, not a curated record.
UCUGUCUCCAGGAGUGCCUGGCAGUCCUCACUGUCAUAGCCGCUGCCUGGGGGACAGCAGAGAGGACUUGGUGACCGGUGUUGGACCUGGCUAGAGUAUGGCCAAUGAAGACACUGUCAUCUUCUGGGCUGCUCAGAGACUUCACUUGGAUCUGGUGGUUGUGACCCCUGUGCACCCACCCGUCCUUCAGCCCCCCGGUGACCAAGGCCCAGGCUCCAGUCACACCACCAACUUGCCUGCCUCGUGGGCCACAGCCACUGCUGGUUGGGUUUGGAAUUUGGGCAUCUCCCUGCCACUGUCCCCAUUGGGGUGUGGAUGCCGUGCCGCCCCUGACACCUUGACACUCUUGGCUCUAGAGAGCUUCUUCCGGAUGCGCCCACCUGGGGCGGCCUCUUUGCGCUGGAAGGCACUGAGGCUGGCUGGCAGCCCCUUGCUCUUGACCUUUGGCUUCAACUGGGCCACCUUGUGGGCCAUUGAGGAUGACAACUCGGCUGGGCCACAGCUCUUCUUGCACCGCACCUUCUCCUGUGAAUGGAAGUGUCAACCACAGAUGCGGUCCCCUCCUCAGCCUCGGCCCCCUGCCUCAGCCCAGGGCCUGUAGGUUUCCCCUGUCAUGGUGGGACCCAGAAAACAGCACCGCUGGGGACAUCUGGCCUUGGCUGCUUACUGGAGGAAACACCGAACCUGUCUACUUAGCACCCCCUCCACCCACAUAUAAACUUUAUAUGAUAGAAUGGGUGGGGGCCCAGGAGCCAGAAGGUUCUGUUUAUCACGGGUACAUUUGCUGUUUGCUUUUGUGAAAUGGAAAGGCUAAAAAGAAGAGUUCCCUAGGCAGAA